GGCGCACGGGUGCGUAACACGUAUGCAACUUACCUAUAACUGGGGAAUAGCCCUCCGAAAGGAGGAUUAAUACCGCAUAACGUCACGGGACGGCAUCAUCCUGUGAUCAAACCUCCGGGGGUUAUAGAUGGGCAUGCGUAACAUUAGCUAGUUGGUGAGGUAACGGCUCACCAAGGCGACGAUGUUUAGGGGGUCUGAGAGGAUGAUCCCCCACACUGGUACUGAGACACGGACCAGACUCCUACGGGAGGCAGCAGUAAGGAAUAUUGGACAAUGGGGGCAACCCUGAUCCAGCCAUGCCGCGUGAAGGAUGAAGGCCCUCUGGGUUGUAAACUUCUUUUGUACGGGAAUAAUCCCCUGGUCGUGACCGGGGUUGAAUGUACCGUAAGAAUAAGGAUCGGCUAACUUCGUGCCAGCAGCCGCGGUAAUACGAAGGAUCCAAGCGUUAUCCGGAUUUAUUGGGUUUAAAGGGUGCGUAGGCGGGCUAUUAAGUCAGUGGUGAAAGCCUGUAGCUUAACUAUAGAAUUGCCAUUGAUACUGAUGGUCUUGAGUACACUUGAGGUGGGCGGAAUGUG
This 575-nucleotide ribosomal RNA is filed under the name uncultured Sphingobacteriia bacterium. RNAcentral's name for it is "bacterial SSU rRNA". It matches the Rfam family "Bacterial small subunit ribosomal RNA", at positions 97 to 670 of the family's 1533-position model. The record is from RNAcentral. Lineage: Bacteria; Pseudomonadati; Bacteroidota; Sphingobacteriia.